Molecule: unclassified non-coding RNA, 314 nt
Filed under: Hevea brasiliensis (rubber tree)
Lineage: Eukaryota; Viridiplantae; Streptophyta; Magnoliopsida; Malpighiales; Euphorbiaceae
Source: RNAcentral
GUUUACCUCAUCUGAGGGUGUGCCUGGAGGGUCCUCAAUCUUGUUUCUUUGGACAUAUUUCCCCUUUUCUUUUUUGGUUCCCAUUGAACUGUGCUGCUGGGGAAUUUUUGGUUUAGGAGUCCUUUUAUGCUCGCCUUCUAUUACCACUUUAGGUCGGUGCUUCUUCCUUCGUUUCUGCUGUGGUGUAUUAUUCUGUUCAGCAUCCUGAUCGACUACCUUGUCAAUCAUGUUAUCCGACAGUUCUGAUAUGUUCAAGACCAGCCCCGACUUCUCUGUGUUCUGUUGGAGAUCAUUUGCUUCUGCUCUCUUUAAUG